AGACGAUUAGUCUAAAAAAGAUAGCCGAUUUCGACUCCGCAGAACAUGGUUCAACCCCAUGACCGUCUU
Molecule: transfer RNA, 69 nt
Filed under: Derichthys serpentinus (narrownecked oceanic eel)
Lineage: Eukaryota; Metazoa; Chordata; Actinopteri; Anguilliformes; Derichthyidae
Description: tRNA-Arg
Rfam family: tRNA
About the family: Transfer RNA (tRNA) molecules are approximately 80 nucleotides in length. Their secondary structure includes four short double-helical elements and three loops (D, anti-codon, and T loops). Further hydrogen bonds mediate the characteristic L-shaped molecular structure. tRNAs have two regions of fundamental functional importance: the anti-codon, which is responsible for specific mRNA codon recognition, and the 3' end, to which the tRNAs corresponding amino acid is attached (by aminoacyl-tRNA synthetases). tRNAs cope with the degeneracy of the genetic code in two manners: having more than one tRNA (with a specific anti-codon) for a particular amino acid; and 'wobble' base-pairing, i.e. permitting non-standard base-pairing at the 3rd anti-codon position.
Source: RNAcentral